Molecule: ribosomal RNA, 433 nt
Filed under: uncultured bacterium
Lineage: Bacteria
Description: partial 16S ribosomal RNA
Rfam family: Bacterial small subunit ribosomal RNA
Source: RNAcentral
AACGAACGCUGGCGGCAUGCCUAACACAUGCCAGUCGAACGAGACCUUCGGGUCUAGUGGCGCACGGGUGCGUAACGCGUGGGAACCUGCCCUUAGGUUCGGAAUAACUCCCCGAAAGGGGUGCUAAUACCGGAUAAUGUCUUCGGACCAAAGAUUUAUCGCCCUUGGAUGGGCCCGCGUUGGAUUAGCUAGUUGGUAGGGUAAAAGCCUACCAAGGCGACGAUCCAUAGCUGGUCUGAGAGGAUGAUCAGCCACACUGGGACUGAGACACGGCCCAGACUCCUACGGGAGGCAGGAGUGGGGAAUAUUGGACAAUGGGCGAAAGCCUGAUCCAGCAAUGCCGCGUGAGUGAUGAAGGCCGUAGGGUUGUAAAGCUCGUUUACCCGGGAUGAUAAUGACAGUACCGGGAGAAUAAGCGCCGGCUAACUCCGUG